This 102-nucleotide small nuclear RNA is filed under the name Chinchilla lanigera (long-tailed chinchilla). The record is from RNAcentral. Lineage: Eukaryota; Metazoa; Chordata; Mammalia; Rodentia; Chinchillidae.
UUGCUUCAGCUGCGCAUAUACUGAAAUUAGAAAAAGACAAAGAUGAUUAGCAUGGACCCUGUUCAAUAAUGACAUAAAACUCAUGAAGUGACCAUAAUUUUU